ACGCUGGCGGCGUGCCUAACACAUGCAAGUCGAACGUGAAAGGGAGCAAUCCUGAGUAAAGUGGCGUACGGGUGAGUAACGCGUAGGUAAUCUACCCCAGAGUCUAGAAUAACCUGCCGAAAGGCGGGCUAAUACUGGAUAGAGCGAUGGAAUCCGUAAUUGGGUUUUUCGGGAAAGGGAGGAGGCAACUUCCCUUGCUUUGGGAUGAGCCUGCGUCUCAUUAGCUAGUUGGUAGGGUAACGGCCUACCAAGGCAAAGAUGGGUAGCUGGUCUGAGAGGAUGAUCAGCCACACUGGAACUGAAACACGGUCCAGACUCCUACGGGAGGCAGCAGUGGGGAAUCUUGCGCAAUGGACGAAAGUCUGACGCAGCCACGCCGCGUGAGUGAAGAAGGCCUUCGGGUUGUAAAGCUCUGUCGAGCGGGACGAAAACCCAUAGGGUGAAUAGCCCUGUGGACUGACGGUACCGCUAAAGGAAGCACCGGCUAACUCCGUGCCAGCAGCCGCGGUAAUACGGAGGGUGCAAGCGUUGCUCGGAAUUAUUGGGCGUAAAGGGUAGGUAGGUGGUCUCAUUUGUCAGAGGUGAAAGCCUUGGGCUUAACCC
This 603-nucleotide ribosomal RNA is filed under the name uncultured bacterium. RNAcentral's name for it is "bacterial SSU rRNA". It matches the Rfam family "Bacterial small subunit ribosomal RNA", at positions 33 to 615 of the family's 1533-position model. The record is from RNAcentral.